UCAUGUUCACUACUGUUAGUCUAGGAGUUCCUUUUGUUUCCUAUGUUUCCCUGUCCUUUUGUCUCUUGUGUGUUUUCCCCUGGUUUGUCUAGUUUGUCAGUGUGUCGGGAGGUGUGGCCUUCCUCCUCCUCCUCCUCCUCUGGGCGGGCUCGGCUGGAGCAGCUGCCACCAAUCAUCAUCACCUGCAGUAUAUAUACCCCGGUUUUCCUGCUACUCGUCGCCAGAUCGUUCCGUCGCCCUCAGUGGUCUGUCACCUGCCAGCUGUGGCUGCUCCCCACCUGCCUGCUCACUCCUGCACUCUGCUCAUUGGAUUAAUUUGGAACCUUUUUGGAAUAAAUAUUCUUUUUGUUCUA
This is a long non-coding RNA of Sebastes umbrosus (honeycomb rockfish), 353 nucleotides long. RefSeq lists it as uncharacterized. The record is from RefSeq and is a predicted model, not a curated record. The transcript is spliced from 2 exons. NCBI's taxonomy places the organism in Eukaryota, Metazoa, Chordata, Actinopteri, Perciformes, Sebastidae.